AAAGGAGAUAGUGCCUUCGGGACCGUGAACACAGGCGGUGCAUGGCUGUCGUCAGCUCGUGUCGUGAGAUAAAGGGUUAAGUACCGCAACGAGCGUAACCCUCGUUCUUAGUUGCCAUCAUUUAGUUGGGCACUUUAAAAAGUCUUCCGGUGAUAAUCCGGAGGAAGGUAAGUUGGAGUGUCUAUCAAGUCUUCCCCGUACUCCCUGCCUUUCACACGUACUACAAUGGUCGAGCCAAAGAGUCGCUAACCUCCAAAAGUCCACUAUUUUCUUCCACUCGAUUUCAUCUCACAUUGCAGUUUACAACUCGCCUGCAUCAAGUAGAAUCGUUAGUAAUCGCAGGUCAGCAAUACCGCGGUUAAUCCGUUCCCGGGCCUUGUCCACACCGCCCGUCACCCUAUUGACGCUAGUCAUACCAGAGACUAUCCCGUAACUUUAAAGAGGGCGCCCUUUAAGCUAGGGCUAGUGACUGGGAUGAAGUCAAAACAAGG
RNAcentral lists this ribosomal RNA (491 nucleotides) under uncultured bacterium. RNAcentral describes it as "bacterial SSU rRNA". It matches the Rfam family "Bacterial small subunit ribosomal RNA", at positions 1004 to 1496 of the family's 1533-position model. The record is from RNAcentral.